Molecule: small nucleolar RNA, 92 nt
Filed under: Castor canadensis (American beaver)
Lineage: Eukaryota; Metazoa; Chordata; Mammalia; Rodentia; Castoridae
Description: Small nucleolar RNA SNORA31 (ENSCCNG00000027957.1)
Rfam family: Small nucleolar RNA SNORA31
About the family: ACA31 (SNORA31) belongs to the H/ACA class of snoRNAs which are thought to guide the sites of modification of uridines to pseudouridines. ACA31 is predicted to guide the pseudouridylation of U3713 in 28S rRNA and U218 in 18S rRNA. This family includes the mouse homologue snoMBI-161.
Source: RNAcentral
AAUCCUAAACUCCACUAGGAUGCAAAAGAAAAUAUUCUCUAUGCUUUCUGUCUGGUUUUAUGGCAGCCCAGAUUGAAUUGGGGAAUACAACA